GACGAACGCUGGCGGCGUGCUUAACACAUGCAAGUCGAACGGAAAGGCCCUGCUUUUGUGGGGUGCUCGAGUGGCGAACGGGUGAGUAACACGUGAGUAACCUGCCCUUGACUUUGGGAUAACUUCAGGAAACUGGGGCUAAUACCGGAUAGGAGCUCCUGCUGCAUGGUGGGGGUUGGAAAGUUUCGGCGGUUGGGGAUGGACUCGCGGCUUAUCAGCUUGUUGGUGGGGUAGUGGCUUACCAAGGCUUUGACGGGUAGCCGGCCUGAGAGGGUGACCGGAACGAGUGGGCCUGGAGAAGGGCCGAGACCCCUACGGGAGGCAACGGGGGGAGAUGUUGCAGAGGGGGGGGAGGCGGUAGGCGGCAGCCCCGGGUGGGGGAUGCCGGCUUUCGGGUUGUAACCGGUUUCCGCCUGGAAAGAAGGGUGAGUGAGGGUAAGGGAUAAAGAAGCCCCGGCUAACUACGUG
This 468-nucleotide ribosomal RNA is filed under the name uncultured bacterium. Its description in RNAcentral is "partial 16S ribosomal RNA". It matches the Rfam family "Bacterial small subunit ribosomal RNA", at positions 28 to 507 of the family's 1533-position model. The record is from RNAcentral.